This 63-nucleotide ribosomal RNA is filed under the name Ancylostoma braziliense. Its description in RNAcentral is "partial 28S ribosomal RNA". It matches the Rfam family "Eukaryotic large subunit ribosomal RNA", at positions 1 to 61 of the family's 3401-position model. The record is from RNAcentral. Lineage: Eukaryota; Metazoa; Nematoda; Chromadorea; Rhabditida; Ancylostomatidae.
UGCAACCUGAGCUCAGGCGUGACUACCCGCUGAACUUAAGCAUAUCAUUUAGCGGAGGAAAAA